UGCGCAUCUCCCUGCUGCAAGGGCUCGGGGGUGCCAGUCCCGUCCCCUAGUGCACGACACAGGGGCCCUUCACGCGGGAACUCAGGGGCUUGCUCUCAAAGUUAAGCUUCCAAAGCACCUAGAGACAACUUGCUGCUGAAGUCUGUAAGACACUGGGCUAGCAGGAGAGACUAAGCAUGAAAAGAUUCAGCAGCGCUUCUCUCUGGGGCUUCCCCAAGCCAAGGCAGACCCGGGACUGCGCUCAGCAUUAUUCUCUCCAGUUUCUAAGGAGCCACAUGCCAGAGGGACAAGACCUGCAAUGUGGAGGGGAACCCUGGAAUAGGGAACCAGUCCAAUAUUGGAUACUACCUAAAGAAAGACACCCAGUGGCACCUGCCAUAGGUGCUGCUGAUGGGUCAAGCACCACACUAAGCACAGUGCUGACCUUCAGAGGUGCCGGGCACAGCAUGUAGAAGAGUGGACACUUUUAGAGAGAAGACCACUACCCAAGUGCAUGGGGCGGAAGAGGGAGCAGCCAACAGAAGCUGUUGCAAAUGCAGCCAUCUAAGAGAGAAGGCACACCUAGCAGCCAGACUGUGGGGAGCCUGCACUGAAAAGCCCUGUAGCACACCCCUCACCUUAGCCAGGGAAAGAGAAUUAGUUACAUGAAAGUGGGGGACACACUAGGCAGAAGUGUUAGAGUCUGGUGUGCAGUCACAUGUCUGAGGCACUGUGAUGCUGGCAAACCAGGUGCCAGCCUAUACCGAGGUCCCCGUGCCUCACUUGGAUACUGACAAACACAGAGCUGGAAUCAGCCUGGUUCACUGUUAAAACGGGGAUUAGAAUGAUAAAAAAUGUGCUUAGGAUACAGACUUCAUGGAAUGCUUGUAAAUUGCUGCUUGCAUUAAUCUCACCUAUAACAUCUGUAUACAGGUAAUAUGUGAGUGUUUGCACUGCAAGCCUCUGUAACUGUGUAAAUCACCAGCUAGGAGCGAAGCAUUAUCUAGUAUAAAAUACGAGUCUCCAACAGGUGUUAUGUCUGACUCCUGCCUGACAAAGAAGGCCCAUCAACACCAGAAAAACUAUUGUGGAACAUCAGAGGACAAAAGAGUUUGUUGCUUGCUUUCCCCCACACCUCAGGAAGAGGAAAGGUGCAAGUGAAUUCCUCCCAUUAGCUGAGUUUGCAACUUGAAACAGAACAGGGGAAGGAAUAAAAACCCUUCACAAGGAGGAACUGUAAUUUUAUGCUGCUUGGACUCUGAGGGGCAAAGAUUACUAAGCAUAACCAAAAGAUCCCCCUGGGUUAGCACUAAAGGACAUAUAGAACUUGCUUAUCAUAGAAGCUUCUAUUACUUAUUGAAACUUAAGAUUGGAAUUCAUGUAUAUAUGUUUACCUGCUUUAACCUUGUAAAUAAUUCUCAUUUCCUUUUCCUACUUAAUAAAUCUUUAGAUAGUUUAUUAUA
Long non-coding RNA from Malaclemys terrapin pileata, 1442 nucleotides. RefSeq lists it as uncharacterized. The transcript is spliced from 2 exons. The record is from RefSeq and is a predicted model, not a curated record. NCBI's taxonomy places the organism in Eukaryota, Metazoa, Chordata, Testudines, Emydidae.